GGUGCCGUUCGUUAGCUGAGGCUCCUUCGCGGAAACAUGCCAGCGACCCCCAACGUCGAGAGACGCCCCGGGUCAGGACAGGCCGCCCCGGCAUUAAGGGGUGGCCCCGAUUGGCUCCCGGAACGCCGGGUUCACGCCGCGAAGUGCCAAAGGUCUUACGAGGAGGGGCAAC
This 172-nucleotide small RNA is filed under the name Arthrobacter sp. Its description in RNAcentral is "Magnesium sequence". It matches the Rfam family "M-box riboswitch aptamer (ykoK leader)". From Rfam's summary of the family: M-box riboswitch, also know as ykoK leader is described as a metaloregulatory RNA that sense divalent metals and function as a genetic control element of genes related to divalent metal transport in bacteria. It was first reported upstream of the B.subtilis ykoK gene and genes with related functions in other bacteria. Phylogenetic analysis of the distribution of M-box RNAs across bacterial genomes revealed that M-box riboswitches are most often employed for the regulation of Mg2+ transporter genes The record is from RNAcentral. RNAcentral also lists the same sequence under 1 other name. Lineage: Bacteria; Bacillati; Actinomycetota; Actinomycetes; Micrococcales; Micrococcaceae.